GUGGGGAAUAUUGGACAAUGGGCGAAAGCCUGAUCCAGCCAUGCCGCGUGUGUGAAGAAGGUCUUCGGAUUGUAAAGCACUUUAAGUUGGGAGGAAGGGUAGUAACCUAAUACGUUGCUACUUUGACGUUACCGACAGAAUAAGCACCGGCUAACUUCGUGCCAGCAGCCGCGGUAAUACGAAGGGUGCAAGCGUUAAUCGGAAUUACUGGGCGUAAAGCGCGCGUAGGUGGUUCAGUAAGUUGGAAGUGAAAUCCCCGGGCUCAACCUGGGAACUGCUUUCAAAACUGCUGAGCUAGAGUACGGUAGAGGGUGGUGGAAUUUCCUGUGUAGCGGUGAAAUGCGUAGAUAUUGGAAGGAACACCAGUGGCGUAAGCGGCUAUCUGGACGAGUAUUGACGCUGAGGCACGAAAGCGUGGGGAUCAAACAGGAUUAGAAACCCCAGUAGUCC
RNAcentral lists this ribosomal RNA (450 nucleotides) under uncultured bacterium. RNAcentral describes it as "partial 16S ribosomal RNA". It matches the Rfam family "Bacterial small subunit ribosomal RNA", at positions 354 to 796 of the family's 1533-position model. The record is from RNAcentral.